Molecule: ribosomal RNA, 3240 nt
Filed under: Salmonella enterica subsp. enterica serovar Derby
Lineage: Bacteria; Pseudomonadati; Pseudomonadota; Gammaproteobacteria; Enterobacterales; Enterobacteriaceae
Description: bacterial LSU rRNA
Rfam family: Bacterial large subunit ribosomal RNA
Source: RNAcentral
UUAAGCGACUAAGCGUACACGGUGGAUGCCCUGGCAGUCAGAGGCGAUGAAGGACGUGCUAAUCUGCGAUAAGCGCCGGUAAGGUGAUAUGAACCGUUAUAACCGGCGAUUUCCGAAUGGGGAAACCCAGUGUGAUUCGUCACACUAUCAUUAACUGAAUCCAUAGGUUAAUGAGGCGAACCGGGGGAACUGAAACAUCUAAGUACCCCGAGGAAAAGAAAUCAACCGAGAUUCCCCCAGUAGCGGCGAGCGAACGGGGAGGAGCCCAGAGCCUGAAUCAGCAUGUGUGUUAGUGGAAGCGUCUGGAAAGGCGCGCGAUACAGGGUGACAGCCCCGUACACAAAAGCGCAUGUGCUGUGAGCUCGAUGAGUAGGGCGGGACACGUGGUAUCCUGUCUGAAUAUGGGGGGACCAUCCUCCAAGGCUAAAUACUCCUGACUGACCGAUAGUGAACCAGUACCGUGAGGGAAAGGCGAAAAGAACCCCGGCGAGGGGAGUGAAAAAGAACCUGAAACCGUGUACGUACAAGCAGUGGGAGCUGAGGGAAAGGCGAAAAGAACCCCGGCGAGGGGAGUGAAAAAGAACCUGAAACCGUGUACGUACAAGCAGUGGGAGCCCCACCACUAAGCCAGUGGUGAACUCCACAUACGCAUCCUUUGCUGAGGAUACGGUUAACGGAGCGCAAGCGACGUUCAACCGCAAAAGAAGCAGAGGGGGCUUAGUGGUGGGGUGACUGCGUACCUUUUGUAUAAUGGGUCAGCGACUUAUAUUCUGUAGCAAGGUUAACCGUAUAGGGGAGCCGGAGGGAAACCGAGUCUUAAUUGGGCGUUAAGUUGCAGGGUAUAGACCCGAAACCCGGUGAUCUAGCCAUGGGCAGGUUGAAGGUUGGGUAACACUAACUGGAGGACCGAACCGACUAAUGUUGAAAAAUUAGCGGAUGACCUGUGGCUGGGGGUGAAAGGCCAAUCAAACCGGGAGAUAGCUGGUUCUCCCCGAAAGCUAUUUAGGUAGCGCCUCGUGAAUUCAUCUCCGGGGGUAGAGCACUGUUUCGGCUAGGGGGCCAUCCCGGCUUACCAACCCGAUGCAAACUGCGAAUACCGGAGAAUGUUAUCACGGGAGACACACGGCGGGUGCUAACGUCCGUCGUGAAGAGGGAAACAACCCAGACCGCCAGCUAAGGUCCCAAAGUCAUGGUUAAGUGGGAAACGAUGUGGGAAGGCCCAGACAGCCAGGAUGUUGGCUUAGAAGCAGCCAUCAUUUAAAGAAAGCGUAAUAGCUCACUGGUCGAGUCGGCCUGCGCGGAAGAUGUAACGGGGCUAAACCAUGCACCGAAGCUGCGGCAGCGAACGUAUCACUUAAAGCGAUUCAGCGGGUUACGAUUGACGGAGCGAAGCGACGUCAAAGCGUAUACAAAGUCGAGUCGGUUUAAGGAUACGUUCGUUGGGUAGGGGAGCGUUCUGUAAGCCUGUGAAGGUGUGUCGUGAGGCAUGCUGGAGGUAUCAGAAGUGCGAAUGCUGUUGGGUAGGGGAGCGUUCUGUAAGCCUGUGAAGGUGGCCUGUGAGGGUUGCUGGAGGUAUCAGAAGUGCGAAUGCUGACAUAAGUAACGAUAAAGCGGGUGAAAAGCCCGCUCGCCGGAAGACCAAGGGUUCCUGUCCAACGUUAAUCGGGGCAGGGUGAGUCGACCCCUAAGGCGAGGCCGAAAGGCGUAGUCGAUGGGAAACGGGUUAAUAUUCCCGUACUUGGUGUUACUGCGAAGGGGGGACGGAGAAGGCUAUGUUGGCCGGGCGACGGUUGUCCCGGUUUAAGCGUGUAGGUGUGUGUUCCAGGUAAAUCCGGUUCACUUUAACACUGAGGCGUGAUGACGAGGCACUACGGUGCUGAAGCAACAAAUGCCCUGCUUCCAGGAAAAGCCUCUAAGCAUCAGGUAACAUCAAAUCGUACCCCAAACCGACACAGGUGGUCAGGUAGAGAAUACCAAGGCGCUUGAGAGAACUCGGGUGAAGGAACUAGGCAAAAUGGUGCCGUAACUUCGGGAGAAGGCACGCUGACAUGUAGGUGAAGUGAUUUACUCAUGGAGCUGAAGUCAGUCGAAGAUACCAGCUGGCUGCAACUGUUUAUUAAAAACACAGCACUGUGCAAACACGAAAGUGGACGUAUACGGUGUGACGCCUGCCCGGUGCCGGAAGGUUAAUUGAUGGGGUCAGCGCAAGCGAAGCUCCUGAUCGAAGCCCCGGUAAACGGCGGCCGUAACUAUAACGGUCCUAAGGUAGCGAAAUUCCUUGUCGGGUAAGUUCCGACCUGCACGAAUGGCGUAAUGAUGGCCAGGCUGUCUCCACCCGAGACUCAGUGAAAUUGAACUCGCUGUGAAGAUGCAGUGUACCCGCGGCAAGACGGAAAGACCCCGUGAACCUUUACUAUAGCUUGACACUGAACAUUGAGCCUUGAUGUGUAGGAUAGGUGGGAGGCUUUGAAGUGUGGACGCCAGUCUGCAUGGAGCCGACCUUGAAAUACCACCCUUUAAUGUUUGAUGUUCUAACGUGGACCCGUAAUCCGGGUUGCGGACAGUGUCUGGUGGGUAGUUUGACUGGGGCGGUCUCCUCCUAAAGAGUAACGGAGGAGCACGAAGGUUGGCUAAUCCUGGUCGGACAUCAGGAGGUUAGUGCAAUGGCAUAAGCCAGCUUGACUGCGAGCGUGACGGCGCGAGCAGGUGCGAAAGCAGGUCAUAGUGAUCCGGUGGUUCUGAAUGGAAGGGCCAUCGCUCAACGGAUAAAAGGUACUCCGGGGAUAACAGGCUGAUACCGCCCAAGAGUUCAUAUCGACGGCGGUGUUUGGCACCUCGAUGUCGGCUCAUCACAUCCUGGGGCUGAAGUAGGUCCCAAGGGUAUGGCUGUUCGCCAUUUAAAGUGGUACGCGAGCUGGGUUUAGAACGUCGUGAGACAGUUCGGUCCCUAUCUGCCGUGGGCGCUGGAGAACUGAGGGGGGCUGCUCCUAGUACGAGAGGACCGGAGUGGACGCAUCACUGGUGUUCGGGUUGUCAUGCCAAUGGCACUGCCCGGUAGCUAAAUGCGGAAGAGAUAAGUGCUGAAAGCAUCUAAGCACGAAACUUGCCCCGAGAUGAGUUCUCCCUGAGACUUAAAGUCUCCUGAAGGAACGUUGAAGACGACGACGUUGAUAGGCCGGGUGUGUAAGCGCAGCGAUGCGUUGAGCUAACCGGUACUAAUGAACCGUGAGGCUUAACCUU